RNAcentral lists this ribosomal RNA (468 nucleotides) under uncultured bacterium. Its description in RNAcentral is "partial 16S ribosomal RNA". It matches the Rfam family "Bacterial small subunit ribosomal RNA", at positions 28 to 507 of the family's 1533-position model. The record is from RNAcentral.
GACGAACGCUGGCGGCGUGCUUAACACAUGCAAGUCGAACGGAAAGGCCCUGCUUUUGUGGGGUGCUCGAUUGGCGAACGGGUGAGUAACACGUGAGUAACCUGCCCUUGACUUUGGGAUAACUUCAGGAAACUGGGGCUAAUACCGGAUAGGAGCUCCUGCUGCAUGGUGGUGGUUGGAAAGUUUCGGCGGUUGGGGAUGGACUCGCGGCUUAUCAGCUUGUUGGUGGGGUAGUGGCUUACCAAGGCUUUGACGGGUAGCCGGCCUGAGAGGGUGACCGGCGACAUGGGGACUGAGAGACGGAGCAGACUGCUACGGGAGGCAGCAGUGGGGAAUAUGGCACAAUGGGCGGAAGCCUGAUGCAGCAACGUCGCGAGCGGGAUGACCGCCUUCGGGUUGUAAACCGCUUUCGACUGAGACGAAGCGUGAGUGACGGUAACGGGUAAAGAAGCACCGGCUAACUACGUG